Molecule: ribosomal RNA, 1310 nt
Filed under: Aphodius sp. APH01
Lineage: Eukaryota; Metazoa; Arthropoda; Insecta; Coleoptera; Scarabaeidae
Description: 16S ribosomal RNA
Rfam family: Archaeal large subunit ribosomal RNA (bases 1068-1227)
Source: RNAcentral
AUAGAAAAAUUUAUAUUAAUUAAUUAGGGAUUUGUUUAUUUUAUAUAUUAAAAAUAUUUUAUUUUUUUUUAUUUUAAUAGAUAAAAUUAGUUUGAUUAUAGCUUAUUAGUAUAGUGAUAGAAAAUUGAAAUAUUAUGAAAAUUUGAAUAUUUAGAAGAAGAUUUGAUUUAUUGUACCUUGUGUAUCAGGGUUUAUUAAAAAAUAAUUAAUUAUAUUAAUUUUCUCGAAUUUUAAAGAGUUAAAGAAUUAUAAAUUUUAUUGUAAAAUAAAUAUUUAUAAUAAUUUUUUAGAAAUGAGACGUUAGUCGUUUUUUAAUAUAUCUAGUUUUUUAAGAAAUAAAUUUAAUUUAGUUAAUUAUUAUAGUUUAAUUAAUUUUUAUAGAUAAUAUUGAAUAAUUAAUUAAUAUCUCAGGGGUUAAGCUCUGAGAUAAAGGCUUAUAAAUUUAAUUUAAAAGUAUAUUUUUUAGGAUUAAAAGUUUUUAUAUUUAGUGUGUUAUAGCUAAAUUUAUGGGAAAUUAGAUUUAUAUUGAUUUUAGGUGUUUUAUUAAAAUAAUUUAAUUAAUAGUAUUUUAAGUGGGAUAAUGAUUAAAUUAGUAUAAUUUAAUGUUAGGUUAAAGUUAUAUUUUUAGGUUAAGUUAAGGAACUCGGCAAAUAGUUUUUUCGCCUGUUUAUUAAAAACAUGUCUUUUUGAUUAUAAUUUAAAGUCUAGCCUGCCCAAUGAAUUAUUUAAUGGCCGCAGUAUUUUAACUGUGCAAAGGUAGCAUAAUAAUUAGUUUUUUGAUUGAGAACUGGUAUGAAUGGUUGGACGAGAGAAAAGCUGUCUCAAUUUAAAUUUAAUUAGAAUUUUAUUUUUAAGUUAAAAAGCUUAAAUGUCUUUAAAAGACGAGAAGACCCUAUAGAGUUUUAUAUUAUUUUAGUAUUUAAUAUAUAAGGUAUUUAAUUUAAUUUAUAUUAAUGUAAUAUUUGAUUGGGGUGAUUAAAAAAUUGAAAAAACUUAUUUUAUAUUAUAACAUUAAUCUAUGAUUAUAUGAGCCAAAUUUUUUGAUUGAAAGAUUAAAUUACCUUAGGGAUAACAGCGUAAUUUUUUUUUAAAGUUCUUAUUGAAAAAAAAGUUUGCGACCUCGAUGUUGGAUUAAAAUAAACUUUUGGCGCAGUAGCUAUAAAGGUUGGGUCUGUUCGACCUUUAAAAUUUUACAUGAUCUGAGUUUAAACCGGUGUGAGCCAGGUUGGUUUCUAUCUUUAAAUAAGUUUUAUAUUUUAGUACGAGAGGACCAAGUAUAAAUAAUAUUUAUUUUUUAUUGAAUAAUAUUA